GCGAAAGUGGCGAAAUUGGUAGACGCGCAGGAUUCAGGUUCCUGUUCCCGGUUUGGGUGUAUGGGUUCGACUCCCUUCUUUCGCA
Molecule: transfer RNA, 85 nt
Filed under: Bradymonadales bacterium
Lineage: Bacteria; Deltaproteobacteria; Bradymonadales
Description: tRNA-Leu
Rfam family: tRNA
About the family: Transfer RNA (tRNA) molecules are approximately 80 nucleotides in length.
Source: RNAcentral